Erinaceus europaeus (western European hedgehog) is the source of this 135-nucleotide ribosomal RNA. The record is from Ensembl. NCBI's taxonomy places the organism in Eukaryota, Metazoa, Chordata, Mammalia, Eulipotyphla, Erinaceidae.
GUCUAUGGCCAUACCACCCUGAACACACCCGAUCUCGUCUGAUCUCAGAAGCUAAGCAGGGUUGGGCCUGGUUAGUACCUGGUUAGGAUGGGAGAACUCCACAAACACUGGGAAGUUUCACAAAUGUUGUAGGGA